CGGCCACAGCCCAAAACUCAAAGGACUUGGCGGUGCUUUAUACCCCUCUAGAGGAGCCUGUUCUAUAAUCGAUAAACCCCGAUAAACCUCACCAAUCCUUGCUAAUACAGUCUAUAUACCGCCAUCUUCAGCAAACCCUAGAAAAGGAACAGAAGUAAGCACAACCACAACACAUAAAAACGUUAGGUCAAGGUGUAACCCAUGGAAUGGGAAGAAAUGGGCUACAUUUUCUAUCUUAAGAA
Molecule: ribosomal RNA, 242 nt
Filed under: Damaliscus lunatus jimela
Lineage: Eukaryota; Metazoa; Chordata; Mammalia; Artiodactyla; Bovidae
Description: partial 12S ribosomal RNA
Source: RNAcentral